This 434-nucleotide ribosomal RNA is filed under the name uncultured organism. RNAcentral describes it as "bacterial SSU rRNA". It matches the Rfam family "Bacterial small subunit ribosomal RNA", at positions 346 to 794 of the family's 1533-position model. The record is from RNAcentral.
GCGCAGCAGUCGCGAAUUUUUCACAAUGGGGGAAACCCUGAUGGAGCGACGCCGCGUGGAGGAUGAAGGCCUUUUGGUCGUAAACUCCUGUCAAACGGGAACAAGAAAGUGAUAGUACCGUUAGAGGAAGAGACGGCUAACUCUGUGCCAGCAGCCGCGGUAAUACAGAGGUCUCAAGCGUUGUUCGGAUUCAUUGGGCGUAAAGGGUGCGUAGGUGGCAUGGUAAGUUGAAGGUGAAAUCUCGGAGCUUAACUCCGAAACUGCCUUCAAUACUGCUGUGCUUGAGGACUGUAGAGGAGAAUGGAAUUCAUGGUGUAGCAGUGAAAUGCGUAGAUAUCAUGAGGAAGACCAGUGGCGAAGGCGAUUCUCUGGGCAGUUCCUGACACUGAGGCACGAAGGCUAGGGGAGCAAACGGGAUUAGAUACCCCGGUAGU